RNAcentral lists this long non-coding RNA (1080 nucleotides) under Helianthus annuus (common sunflower). RNAcentral's name for it is "hypothetical non coding rna". The record is from RNAcentral. Lineage: Eukaryota; Viridiplantae; Streptophyta; Magnoliopsida; Asterales; Asteraceae.
GGGAGCGCUUGAGAGUAGGGUUAGCCUGAAUAGUUUGAUAGCAUAACGAUAAGCAACACGUAAAACGGAAAACAAGUGUUGGGGGGGUCUGACAGCUGGUCGAUCGGAUGGUGGUCCGAUCGGACGGCUGACCGUUCGGUUUAUAGUCCGUUCGGACAGCUGUCCGGUCGGUCGGUAGGCCGAUCGGAUGGCUGUUCGAGUGGAUUGUUUCUUCCUUUGAGAAGGAUGUGUUUGUGUCGGUCGAUUGGACGGUUGCGCGGUCGGCCGGCAGCCCGAUCGGUUAGGUACUUUUAACAAGACAAGUUCUCAGCAGGGUGUCAUCUGAUCGGACGGCUGUUCGAUCGGGUGGCACUCCUAGUGCAUUGAACAUGUUGAAAAUCGACUAAGGGUUGAAGUAUAGUAUCUCAUGAUCCGAAGAGUAAUCCGAUCGGAUGGUAGUCCAAUCGAACAGAUUUUCGUUCAAUACCAGUCUUCAAAACAAAUUGAUUAAGUGUAGGGCCAUGUGUUAGCCGAUCGGCUGACUGUCCGAUCGACUGGCUGUCCGUUCGGCCAACAGUCCGAUCGGUCAGCAUCCUGACCUGGUCGACCUGUUCGUCUAACACUUGGCUGUUCUGAUUUGUCGUUUUAUUGAGAUAUUUUGAGAGCGAGUUGAACAAUAGAAAACUCGUCUUUACUUGGUUCUCCUAAUCGGACAGGAAUCACCCAAAUCCGGCCGGUGAACUGUUCAGGACGGAGUUUAACGUUUAACCCGAAAUCGGUGAAUCUCAUGGAUAGAAUCCGGAUCUUGAGUCAUGCAACCACCGGAGUGAUUAGCAAGUCGGCACAAGCUCCGUUUCUAUCGGUUUGAAGGCAUUGAGUGUAAAAGAGUUGAAAGAAAGUUGGAAAAUCAUCUUUCAAUCCUUUUCACCGUGUAAAUGUUUAGAUCUAUAACAGAUCUUUGUUUGUUUAUGUGGAAAUCGGCUAGAUCCAAGUUAUUCUUGGUGGAGUGAGGCCAAAACAUGAAGUUCUUCAAGAACACCAUGAUGACAUCAUCCUAGAACACUUGAAUCUUGAUGAUUUCACGGUUUAAAGUUAAGAUUU